Molecule: unclassified non-coding RNA, 341 nt
Filed under: soil metagenome
Description: partial contains 5.8S ribosomal RNA, internal transcribed spacer 2, and large subunit ribosomal RNA
Rfam family: 5.8S ribosomal RNA (bases 1-120)
Source: RNAcentral
GAUGAAGAACGUAGCUAAAUGCGAUAAGUAGUGUGAAUUGCAGAAUUCAGUGAAUCAUCGAAUCUUUGAACGCACAUUGCGCCCUUUGGUAUUCCAAAGGGCAUGCCUGUUCGAGCGUCAUUUGUACCCUCAAGCUUUGCUUGGUGUUGGGCGUCUUGUCUCUAGCUUUGCUGGAGACUCGCCUUAAAGUAAUUGGCAGCCGGCCUACUGGUUUCGGAGCGCAGCACAAGUCGCACUCUCUAUCAGCAAAGGUCUAGCAUCCAUUAAGCCUUUUUUUCAACUUUUGACCUCGGAUCAGGUAGGGAUACCCGCUGAACUUAAGCAUAUCAAUAAGCGGAGGA